This 253-nucleotide ribosomal RNA is filed under the name uncultured bacterium. RNAcentral describes it as "partial 16S ribosomal RNA". It matches the Rfam family "Bacterial small subunit ribosomal RNA", at positions 524 to 776 of the family's 1533-position model. The record is from RNAcentral.
UACAGAGGUCCCAAGCGUUGUUCGGAUUCACUGGGCGUAAAGCGUGCGCAGGCGGUGAUGUAAGACAGGUGUGAAAUCCCCGGGCUUAACCUGGGAACUGCAUUUGUGACUGCAUCGCUGGAGUGCGGCAGAGGGGGAUGGAAUUCCGCGUGUAGCAGUGAAAUGCGUAGAUAUGCGGAGGAACACCGAUGGCGAAGGCAAUCCCCUGGGCCUGCACUGACGCUCAUGCACGAAAGCGUGGGGAGCAAACAGG